This 25-nucleotide small RNA is filed under the name Arabidopsis thaliana (thale cress). RNAcentral's name for it is "ATSL180850". Lineage: Eukaryota; Viridiplantae; Streptophyta; Magnoliopsida; Brassicales; Brassicaceae. The record is from RNAcentral.
AUAGAAGAAGAAGAAGAACAACAAU